GCUGCCUCUAAAUUAGAGUGGGAUUGAGGUUGAGUUGAAUUAUUUGUAUUUCAACCUGCAAUUUUGGUAAUAAGAUUGUAUUUGUCUUAUACAUUUUAUUAGAGUCCAAGUUGUUAGCAUUUCAUGUUGCUUAGGAACCAAAUAAAUCCUUAUAAAAAGACUAUAAGGUCUUUUUCAUGGUUUAUAUUUGGCUGAAAAUUUUGGAUAAAUUUCACCUCUAGUACCUAAACCUAGAGCAUUGUAAUAGUAUGGUAUAUAAACUUCAAUUUGUAACAUAAA
Molecule: unclassified non-coding RNA, 279 nt
Filed under: Hevea brasiliensis (rubber tree)
Lineage: Eukaryota; Viridiplantae; Streptophyta; Magnoliopsida; Malpighiales; Euphorbiaceae
Source: RNAcentral